This 253-nucleotide ribosomal RNA is filed under the name uncultured bacterium. RNAcentral describes it as "partial 16S ribosomal RNA". It matches the Rfam family "Bacterial small subunit ribosomal RNA", at positions 524 to 776 of the family's 1533-position model. The record is from RNAcentral.
UACGUAGGGUGCAAGCGUUGUCCGGAAUUAUUGGGCGUAAAGAGCUCGUAGGUGGUCUGUCGCGUCGGCUGUGAAAACUCGGGGCUCAACCCCGAGCCUGCAGUCGAUACGGGCAGACUUGAGUGCGGUAGGGGAGACUGGAAUUCCUGGUGUAGCGGUGAAAUGCGCAGAUAUCAGGAGGAACACCGGCGGCGAAGGCGGCUCACUGGCCCGUUACCGACGCUCAGGCGCGACAGCGUGGGGAGCAAACAGG